CAGUCGCCGCGGGAAUACGUAGGGUGCAAGCGUUAAUCGGAAUUACUGGGCGUAAAGCGUGCGUAGGCGGCUUCUUAAGUCGGAUGUGAAAUCCCUGAGCUUAACUUAGGAAUUGCAUUCGAUACUGGGAAGCUAGAGUAUGGGAGAGGAUGGUAGAAUUCCAGGUGUAGCGGUGAAAUGCGUAGAGAUCUGGAGGAAUACCGAUGGCGAAGGCAGCCAUCUGGCCUAAUACUGACGCUGAGGUACGAAAGCAUGGGGAGCAAACAGGAUUAGAGACCCCUGUAGUCCCUGUCUCUUAUAC
RNAcentral lists this ribosomal RNA (301 nucleotides) under uncultured bacterium. RNAcentral's name for it is "partial 16S ribosomal RNA". It matches the Rfam family "Bacterial small subunit ribosomal RNA", at positions 509 to 807 of the family's 1533-position model. The record is from RNAcentral.